GACGAACGCUGGCGGCGUGCUUAACACAUGCAAGUCGAACGGAAAGGCCCUGCUUUUGUGGGGUUCUCGAGUGGCGAACGGGUGAGUAACACGUGAGUAACCUGCCCUUGUCUUUGGGAUAACUUCAGGAAACUGGGGCUAAUACCGGAUAGGAGCUCCUGCUGCAUGGUGGGGGUUGGAAAGUUUCGGCUGUUGGGGAUGGACUCGCGGCUUAUCAGCUUGUUGGUGGGGUAGUGGCUUACCAAGGCUUGGACGGGUACCCGGCCUGAGAGGGUGACCGGCCACAUUGGGACUGAGAUACGGCCCAGACUCCUACGGGAGGCAGCAGUGGGGAAUAUUGCACAAUGGGCGGAAGCCUGAUGCAGCAACGCCGCGUGCGGGAUGACGGCCUUCGGGUUGUAAACCGCUUUCGCCUGUGACGAAGCGUGAGUGACGGUAAUGGGUAAAGAAGCACCGGCUAACUACGUG
This 468-nucleotide ribosomal RNA is filed under the name uncultured bacterium. RNAcentral describes it as "partial 16S ribosomal RNA". It matches the Rfam family "Bacterial small subunit ribosomal RNA", at positions 28 to 507 of the family's 1533-position model. The record is from RNAcentral.